UACAGAGGUCCCAAGCGUUGUUCGGAUUCACUGGGCGUAAAGGGUGCGUAGGCGGUCGGGUAAGUCUGAUGUGAAAUCUCACAGCUUAACUGUGAAACUGCAUUGGAUACUAUCCGGCUAGAGGAAUGGAGGGGAGACUGGAAUACUUGGUGUAGCAGUGAAAUGCGUAGAUAUCAAGUGGAACACCAGUGGCGAAGGCGAGUCUCUGGACAUUUCCUGACGCUGAGGCACGAAAGCCAGGGGAGCAAACGAG
Molecule: ribosomal RNA, 253 nt
Filed under: uncultured bacterium
Lineage: Bacteria
Description: partial 16S ribosomal RNA
Rfam family: Bacterial small subunit ribosomal RNA
Source: RNAcentral